UGCCGCGUGAGUGAAGAAGGCCUUCGGGUUGUAAAGCUCUUUUUAUUGGGGAAGAUAAUGACGGUACCCGAUGAAUAAGCUCCGGCUAACUUCGUGC
RNAcentral lists this ribosomal RNA (97 nucleotides) under uncultured bacterium. Its description in RNAcentral is "partial 16S ribosomal RNA". It matches the Rfam family "Bacterial small subunit ribosomal RNA", at positions 395 to 508 of the family's 1533-position model. The record is from RNAcentral.